Molecule: long non-coding RNA, 36929 nt
Filed under: Triticum aestivum (bread wheat)
Lineage: Eukaryota; Viridiplantae; Streptophyta; Magnoliopsida; Poales; Poaceae
Description: long non-coding RNA (TAES_LNC009353)
Rfam family: MIR1120/MIR1122 microRNA precursor family (bases 3655-3741)
Source: RNAcentral
UAGAUGGUGUCCCUGCGGAUCAAUGCGAAAUUUUGAACUAGUUACAUGAUGUCUUACCCCGUAUCUUUUAGGAAGUUUUUUUGCUCAAACCUCCUGUUGCUGUCGGUAUGCAGUAUCUGGGUGCACAAACCGGUGGUGGAUCAGUGUGAAAGAUUGUUUUAUGUUUCUCAUCAAUGUGAGAUUGUUUUAUGGUUAUCUGGUUGUUGUUUCAGAUUUUGUCUAGUUGGUGUUUCUUCCGCAACACAUUGCGAUGUUUGUCUGUCGUCUCCGUAGAACCUUUCUCAUGCCCUUGUAACUGGGUGUUAAUCGAUCUGCCGCACGGCCUUCAAAAUGCGGCCUUGAGCUGGUUAUUAAUUGAACGGCCGUGGCCGCCAAUCGUGCCUUUAAGAUUACAACACGCAAGCACAUUCUGGAAACGAUCAAUUGAAUUGAAAGUUUGACCCCGUGGAUUUUGCUUUCAGAUAUUGAAAAAUUCCAUCAGCAACCACAACUCUAAUAAUUAACUGUAGCUUUGCUAAUUUCAAUAUGGUUAAUGUAAACUCUAAUAAAAAAAUCUUAUUGAAUGUUAUUUGAGCACAUUAUGCUUAAAUUUGUUGGAUUCUCUGGGUUGAUUUUCUUUCUUUUAUCAACAAAAAGAAGGUAGUUACAAUUAUUAAAAAAAAUCAAUACAUUUCAGCGAAAAUCCAUUUCUGCACCCAUGCUCAUCUGCACCGGCGCCGAAGAAAAAAAUCAAAACAAAUACUAGAAAAAUUCAAAAAAUUCCAUUUUUUCUUUGUGGGGUAGACAAUUUGAUGCGUGAGGUCCGAUCCAAUUUUCAAAUCAUUUGGACAUCUGAGGAGCUCUCAGGAAAAAAAAAUUUGGGGGUCUGUAAAAAUGUUUACUGUUCAUGUACUGUUUUGGUCUAAUUUGUCUUUUUUGCUGAGAGCUGCUCAGAUGUCCAAAUGACUUGAAAUUUGUAGCGGACCUCACACAUCAAAUUGUCUACCACACAAAUUUUAUUUGGAAUUUUUUGAAUUUGUUUUGAAUUUUUUACGAAUUUUUUUCUAACCGGGUGCAGAUGAGCGUGGCACCAAAACGCCCUGCUCUACAUUUCAGUGACUUCAAGUCUUUGUAUAUACAGUAUAAGAUUAGAAAUAUGGAAAUAAUAGGUAAUACAGAUGUUGAUAUACACAUACAGAAAUGUAUCAGUGUCUAACUUAUCAUGUGUUAGAGAAAGAGGAUUUGUGGCUCUCGCGUGUUAAACACCCUUAUAUGAAUAUAGCAUUAAAAAACAAAUUAGGAAAUUUUGAAAAGUUCUGAAAUUUUGGGAUGGAACCUAGGUGCCCGUUGUACACUCACGUUCAGUUUCAUGGGGAAGGGGUGCCCGAGGUAAUGUCAGUAAAAAGACAAAAAAAAUCGUAUGUGUAGAAAAAAACUGGAUGUAACGUAUGUCGGACCAUAAUUCCUGCGCCGUGGAUACCACGGACACCGAUUCUCCAUGAAAAUGAACAAGGGUGUACGAUGGGCACCCAGAUUUCAUAUCCAAAUAUUUUCAAAUUCUUUGGAUAUUUUCUGAUAUUUUUUUAAUGCUAUUUAUAUAUAGGGGUGUGUGGCACCGGGGUGCUCCGAUGCAUUUCUCGUGUUAUGCAGCGAAGGGGUAGGAUGCCCUCACAAUACGAGAGCCACUGAGAUAAAACACCAACCAAGCAACAUAGAAGGAUAACAUGCACACAGACAUCCCGCUAGGGAUGCCAGCUAUAUGAGAGAAGUACAAGGCAUGAACAAAGCACGGUAACUAAAGGGGCUUGCUUGAUCACGAGGACGAGCUACAAGAUGCCCCCUUGAUCUAGACAUAAGUCAACCUUGGGCGCCCUUGUUAUUGAAGAAGAGCAGGCAACGCUCGCCGACGCCGCGUCGGCAAGCGUAUACGUCGAUCCUGUCUCCCACGGAGAUACGGCUAUCCCUCAGGAACUCCCUCAACCCAGGCCCAAAGAUCCGGUAGGCCAUGAUGGCAUUGUCGUACUGGAGCGCUGCCACCUUCUCGUCGCCGGCCUCAACGUCGAUGAGGACGGGCACCGCCAGCACGUUCGGCAUGCCGUUGUGGCCAACCUGCUCCAGCUCCCGGAACAGCCUCGGGAUGGGGCCAUCCUGCACCAUCCCCCGGGUAAGCAGCAGCCCGUUCUGGCCUGGAGCGACGUCUGGCCACCGCAUUACCUUGGAGAGCGCCCACUCGGCCCCGUACACGCCAACGGCGGCCAUCCGCAUCUGGUGACGCCGGCGGACGAAGGAGGGCUCGGCCACGAGGGCGUGCCACCGCUUGCACGUCGUGGCGCAACGAAGGAGGGUAGCUGCAUCAGCGACGUGUGUGAGAAUCUCCAGGACGACGUCUUCCGGGAGCUCCGUCCGUUUGAUCUCCGCCCACGGAUUGAUCAUAUCGAAAGAGCCAAACCCUUGGCCAAACGUAUGUCUGUGCUUUUAUUUUUCUUCUAACAACUCAAUUUCAUGAUCUCGAGUCUCUAACAAAAGCACUCGUACCGAUCCUACACCGAAGACGACGACUCGAACAACAACUCCUGGUGUCGCAGGAACAAGGCCAAAGACACAAGUGCAUACGGCAACACUUCCUAAUCCAGUCUUGCUAAGUCUCAGUCGAUGAUAUAUUCAUGAGAUCUUACAUUAAGAUUCGUAUAAUAUUUUUUUCAGAUUUUUUCUCUUUUACAUGUAAUAUCACUUGAUUAAGACUUGGUUAAAUCUCAGUCGACUAAGACCUAGCCACAUCCUCCUAAUUAACCCGACCCUAAUUAGUCAACUAAGAUCUAGCCACGUCCUCCUAAUUAACCCGACCCUGAUCCGUACUAGGACUACCCGGCAACCUGCUUAACUAACACUGGAUAAUUUCCUAACGUUACCCAGGAAGACGGAUGCUCCAAGACUUGUUCGUGUAAGACUUCAACAUUACCUACGCCAACUAGACUCAACACUAAAUCAAGAUUAUGGCAACACCAUCUUCGACCUGAACGCUGGAGGGCGGGCAAUGUGCACGUGCAGGUCCGAUUCUCAAAAGACCGAGGCCGAUCUUUAUUAAGAUAGGGAAAAGGAGAAUUUACAUAGUGGCAAAGGCCGCCAAUAUUAGGGCAUCUUCAACUGUGACCCGUAAAUUUGUUCGGGCAUCCGUCGGUGAAUAAGAGGACCAGUCCGCAGACAUGAAUAUGGGAGCCGGUCAUACAACGCUGCUCGCAUACAUCUGAAGCCGGGUUUAAACUAGUCGGAAAAAAAUCAUGCAAACACGACGGGUUUUCAUAUAAAUCGGACGAAAUUCAUUACAUUUUGAACAUUUUUCAUUAAUAAAAUGGUCAACCCUAAAACACUUCCUUUGUAUUCAGUAUCGGCAACCACGUCCUCUGCCAUCUCCAUAAACGACGGCAGGGUUCAAGACUCGUGAAGUGGAGGUGCGGUCUUCGUUGAGGAAGAGUAAAACAUCGGAGACGGACCGGCCCACUUGGGACACAAUGCCCUGCCGCCUCCAAUGCCCUUCUCAUCCUCAGAUGAGUCCGCGACCUGUCCGUCCCCGGCGUCGGUGGACACGAGGUCGAUGAUGGACGUGGACGGUCCUUCACCGUCCAGCUGUCACGUGCGCCCCUGAAAGUUGAACGGUGGCGCGUGUUGGGAAAUGUAGUACUCCCUCUGUCCCACAAUAUAAGAACGUUUUUUACACUAGUGUAGUGUCAAAAACGUUCUUAUAUUAUGGGACGGAGGGAGUAGAAAAUAAAAAAAAUCGCCCUACGAUCACCCAGGAACAAUAUGAAGAUGCAUUAACGAUUUGGAUUCGAUAGUUACCGACUCCGAGUUGCAACAAAAAAUUACGAGUCGGUGUAGAUCGUACUUGGAGUCCCUCGAAGCGUAGAUGAACGAUCUCACGAACUGUCCACGAACAGUCCCUCGAACGAAGAACCGAAAGCAUGACCUCUCUACGAGUUGCAAGCGUACAAUCUUCACGAUCCGGCAAUGCUUCCAGAGCUAAUCGUCGUCGGAUAAUUAAAGAGAAGAGAUUAGAACCACACUAAACUUGUAAUUAUGAGGAUUAGACGAACUAGAUGAAUCUCUAAUUUAUUAAUUAGGACCGACUAGAACUAGAGAACUAGAGGAGGCUUCCAAACUUUUAUGUAUAAAAGUGCCCAAAGCCUCUAGUAUAUAUAGGUUGAAGUGGAGGAGGGGACCGCCNNNNNNNNNNNNNNNNNNNNNNNNNNNNNNNNNNNNNNNNNNNNNNNNNNNNNNNNNNNNNNNNNNNNNNNNNNNNNNNNNNNNNNNNNNNNNNNNNNNNNNNNNNNNNNNNNNNNNNNNNNNNNNNNNNNNNNNNNNNNNNNNNNNNNNNNNNNNNNNNNNNNNNNNNNNNNNNNNNNNNNNNNNNNNNNNNNNNNNNNNNNNNNNNNNNNNNNNNNNNNNNNNNNNNNNNNNNNNNNNNNNNNNNNNNNNNNNNNNNNNNNNNNNNNNNNNNNNNNNNNNNNNNNNNNNNNNNNNNNNNNNNNNNNNNNNNNNNNNNNNNNNNNNNNNNNNNNNNNNNNNNNNNNNNNNNNNNNNNNNCCCGUGCACACACACAAUGGAAAGGCGCCUCCCCUAUUAGGCCUAUGUAGUCCAAUUCUCCUUCCACCAUUUGGCCUUUUAAGACCUGUUGAUCUUAAAUUAAAUAUAAACUCCUCCUAACAAUUGUUAGAGAUUAUUAUUAUUAUUUUAACAUCACCGGAAAACAGUUUCCACAUACAUAUUAUUUAUCGGUAAUACCCGGUAUUGCCCGAUAAACUUUAAUACUCUUCCGGUGACCCUGAAAUGCUUCUGGUUCCUCUUGAAACUAUUCUGAAUAUUAAUGAAACUAUUUCACUAAUAAAUUAUCGAUACUCCUGUCCUACUAACACUCAGCAGAUCAUGAUUACCUUAACCCUGUGGCACUGUAGGUCCGGUAAAACAUAGACAUGAACGAAACUCCUUCGUUCAAUGAUCGACAUCAGAACCGUGGACGUUCGUAUCAAUCCCUAUAAUCACAAGAAUGACAUUCGAGUUAACCUUUUGUUAUUAUGUGAUUUUCCUUUGCUUCACGAUACUUUUCAAAACCUGAGGUGAGAUAUGUCGCUAUCCUCUUGAGUCAUACACAUGCUCACUAUACCGGUCUUCUCAUUGCUGGUUUUGUUCUUCUUUCUCGUUGACAUGUUCCGGCAUCCCCGUGAGUGGUCAUCUGUGUCUAGCCAGGUGAUUGAUGGAUGUCGUCACACCGAGAAAACCCUAAAAAUAUCUCUCCAUCGUCGGAGGAGAAAAAUCCACUCUUAAGCUAUCAAGUCCCAUGUCAAACUUUUCCGAUGAACCAGUAAGUUGUCGUUAUGAUCACUGUGUUACAGAUGACGUUUGAGCAACCCCAAAGCUCAUCAUACUGUAAAAAGUGACUAUGAUACUCUCACGAUCCAAGGAACUAAAACACACAUUAACACCCCGUGUUAUAACAAUUGACUUAUGACGAUAUUAUUUUUGGGUAAAAAUCAAAUUUAUGAGUAGUUAAUAUUUUUGACAAAUUUUGAGCGCUAAUUCUAAAAGGGCGCUGCUACGCGUCGGCCGGCAAAGAUCCGUCGUCUUGCGAACCGUUGGAUCUGAUGGAUUGAGCUGCCAAUGUCACGUUCUACCAUCGCAACACAGGUCAUGUUGCAAGAAUUUUCUGCAGCACAGGUCAUGUUGCAGUUUUUUUUUGCAACCGAAGUCUUGUUGCGGAAAUAUUUUUGCAACAGAGGUCUUGUUGCAUAUAUUUUCUGCAACAAAGGUGCUGUUGCGGAUUUUUUUUCCAUCUUCACUUUUUUUGCAACAUAGCUGUUGUUGCAAAAAAUUUACAAUGAAAAUCAUGAUUCAAAACGCCACUAUCACCGCCGUUCGUCGUUGUCGUUUGCAAUUCCAUCCUUGCAAUUACAACAUGGGACGAUCAGUGAUGAGCCGAGCCGACGGCCUGCGACGACCGACGACUGUGAUGGAGGCAGCCCACGACUUCCAUUUGUAGUUUUUUUUUUUUUUUUGCGGGGGACUUCCAUUUGUAGUUGGAAGCACAACUUCCCCCGUGACAAGCCGGGGAGUGCCCUCGCAGCUGCAGCCUCACCACCAGAUUUGUGGUGAGCCAUGGUGGCGGAGCUGCAGGACCUGAACGGAGGUAGCCUUGUGGUGCGGCCACGACGCUUGCAGGUGGGCAAGAGAACGGCCGGAAUAAAGAACAAGUCGUUGAGGUUGGAUAAGGCAGAUGAAAAUUUGAGAGGGGCUAGGGGUACCACGUCACGUGGACACGCGUCACACCGGCAAAGCGGCGGAUAGGAGUCUAGAAAUCAGUGGGGUGAUUUCAACCAUUUCCCAUUCUAAAAACCCGAAAUAUUUUUAACCUGAAUCACCCGACCAAAAUUUCCGGGUAAACCCGAAGGCCCGAGGCUGAGCUCUAACAUCAAACCGGGCCGGGCCAACUACACGGCGGAUCCCGCUGCUUCCAUUCCAAGGCGAGAGAGCUCUUCUCCCGAACCGCCUCUCGAUUCGUUACUAGAUUGCGUCAGAUGCGUGCAUUGCAUGCGUGGUUCAUGGUCUUAGGCUUCGUUGUCAAAAUUCCAUCUCCGUCCACGCCGUUCGAAGAACUACUUGAAAUCCUCUAGUAGCAGUAGGAGUAGUAGUAGUUUGUGUAAUUUACUUCAGUUAUGAUAGAGACCAGUGCUAUCUACAACGAUUAGGCCCAAAAGUAGCUGGUGGCAGGAGAUUUUUUCAGUGUACAUUGCUGGUGGCAGUUGCUCCUGUUGUUUAAAAGUUCUGAUGAUGCACUGUGGUUCAGUUUAGUUUGUUAGUCUAUUCGAUAUGCUGUGCUCUGUAACGGCCUUGCAGCAGGGCUUCACCUUUGAAACUCUGUUAUCAGGGGUAAUGCUUCUUGAUAUUGACUGGUCUAUGAGUGCUGAUAUCCUUGCAUUUUAUCUGUAGGAGGAGCUUUGAAGGUUUGCCAGGUCAGAAAAGAUGGUUCUCAAGUAUGUUACUGUCUUUGAUGUCGUGCCGAAAUGCUAAAGAUUUGUAAAAUUGCUUCUUCCAAUCUUACUUACUCCUGCAUUUGUGUUCAUACAGGACAGAGCUCUGCCGUUUCAGCGAUGCAAAGAUAUACCCAGGGAAGGGUAUCAGAUUCAUCCGUUCAGACUGAGGUAAGCCCUUGUGUCUCCUUUCGUUAUUUUGCAUGAAAUGAAAAUAACUGGAAAUUCUCUAACAUUCUGCUGCACCUUCUUUGUGUGUGCCCGAAAUCAGGUAUUCCUUUUCUCGAACUCCAAGUGCAAGCGCUACUUCCACAACCAUCUCAAGCCCGCUAAUCUCACAUGGACGGCCAGGUUCAGGAAGCAGCACAAGAAGGUACAUGCAAAUAAGCCAAUUCCUGUAAUGAUAUACUCCACAUCCUAGUUCAGGAAAUGUUUCAUAAUGUUACUAGUAUGCCGUAUUAGAGGUAUCUGCUUAGGCAGUGUAAGAGGUGCAUUCAUCUGGUUACUAAUUGACUUGCUUAAAUAUUUCACCUGAUGAAUAAUUUCAUUUGUGAGUAGCUAGCGAAAGUCAAAGAAGGUGACAUAUCUAGUAAGUCUCAGGGACUAGAAUGUACCAGUUUACCACAAUAUCAGAUAGUCUGUUGACAACAUAAAUGAUAUGUAUUGCUUAAUCACGUGUAAUUUCCAUUCCUUUGCUUUGCACAAACGGGCGUAUUGUUUCUUAGCUUAGCUCUCUGUUUUAUUGUGUUUUCACCAAUGAUGCUCCAUCACUCGCUGUCCUUGUUUCUAUAAGCAACUACACACUUUAGAGCAUCUCCAAUAGACGGUCCAAAUGUAAAAAUACCUAACUUUUGGACCGUCUGGAGCAAAAAACCCUGCUUCAACAGACGGUCCAUAUGUAAAAAAAUGGACCGCGGCCUCCUCGUGAUAUAAAAUACAACACCUCACAGUGCAAAUUUACAUCACGAGGUGCAUCUGGUCCAAAACCAGACGCCGCCCGCGAACGCCCAACCGCCAGUUCCUUUCCUUUCCCGCCCGCCCGCCCGGCCGCCGCCGCCAUGGCCGAAGGCGACGACCCCGCCGCUUUCUCCGCCGCCGCCGCAGCCGGUGGGCUGACCCACGUGGCCGCCGCCGCCNNNNNNNNNNNNNNNNNNNNNNNNNNNNNNNNNNNNNNNNNNNNNNNNNNNNNNNNNNNNNNNNNNNNNNNNNNNNNNNNNNNNNNNNNNNNNNNNNNNNNNNNNNNNNNNNNNNNNNNNNNNNNNNNNNNNNNNNNNNNNNNNNNNNNNNNNNNNNNNNNNNNNNNNNNNNNNNNNNNNNNNNNNNNNNNNNNNNNNNNNNNNNNNNNNNNNNNNNNNNNNNNNNNNNNNNNNNNNNNNNNNNNNNNNNNNNNNNNNNNNNNNNNNNNNNNNNNNNNNNNNNNNNNNNNNNNNNNNNNNNNNNNNNNNNNNNNNNNNNNNNNNNNNNNNNNNNNNNCGGCCCGGAUUCGCGCCGCCCCGGCCGGUGGCCACCGCGACGGCGGCGAAGGGACGAGGCGGCGGAAAACGGCCGGCCAACCGCAGCCACAACCCGACCGACAGUUCUACGCGGCCGGUGAAGGUCUCCAAGGCGGCCGCGGCGGCUCGGGGCGACAACUCGCAGCCGGUGCGGCCGGCGGCCUCCUCCAGCAACCACACAUCCAUUCCUCAACCUCCCCCGCCAGCCGUGGAGGAAGAUGUGGCCACGCCGAUGGCCACUGCCUCCAACAUGUUCGAGGAAAUGUCGCAAGCUCUCGUUUGUUGUUUCAAAUUGUAUGUGUUCUUGAUUGUUUGUGCGUCCAAUUGUAGUCUUGAUGAUGAAGCUUUCAUGCACGCGACAAAUGUGGCAAAUGAUGAUUACAUAUAUGCGUCACAAGAAUAUGAAACCCAAUAUGAUGAUGACAAUCUUGAUGUGGACGAUGAGGGCUUUGUUGUCAAGGGAAGAAGUGGAAAUUAUACCACCGCGGAGGAUGUGUUGAUAUGCACCGCUUGGAAGAAAAUCUCUCAAGAUGCAAGCGUUGGAAGCGACCAAACGGUGAACACCUAUUGGCAACGCAUCAAGGAGUACUUCGAUGAGCGCAACACAAGUGGUCACUUCCGUUCGAGCGACUCUCUACACCAACGUUGGUCCACCAUCAACGCCGAAUGCCAAAACUGGGCCGGUUGCUUGUCAAACGUUGCUCGCAUGAACCCAAGUGGUUGCGGUGAUAGUGACUUGGUAAAUAUUCCCUCUUCGUGCGUGCUUUGUCAAAUAUUUCCUCUUUGUUCCACAUGUUGAUGAUGAUGUGUUACUUGUUUUAUUGUAGAAAAUGAUUGCACAAGGAUUGUUUCGAGAGAGGAACAUGAAAGGCGAGAAGAAGAAAAGGAAAGGAAAACCUUUCACUUUUCAUCAUUGCUACAAAGAGCUCAAGGAUGAGGAGAAGUGGAAAACUAGAGAGACUUUUGAAUCGCCGAAGAAGAAGAGUGCGGUGCUUGAGGAUGAAGAAGAUGUUGCCAUUGAGGAGACGAGCCCCACUCCUCACUCCGUGACAAAAUCUUAUAGGCCCGAUGGAAACAAGAAAGCGAAGGGAACCAAGGCCGGAGACAAUGAUCUCAAGGAAGGAUUUGAUGGCGAGGAAAGAGAAUGCCGAAGAAAAAGAAUCUUGAAGCUCAAGGAAAUAGAGGAGAGGAGUGAGGCCGAGCGGCGAAGGGCGGCGGCCGAGGAGAAGAGGGCGGCGACCGAGGAGAGGUUGGCCGCGGCCGAGGAGAGGAAGGUGGACCUAGAGGAGAAGAAGGCCGCGGCCGACGAGAUGAAGGUGGUUGAGGAGAGGACUGUUGGGGAACGUAGCAAUAAUUCAAAAUUUUCCUACGUAUCACCAAGAUCAAUCUAGGAGAUGCUAGCAACGAGAGAGAGGGAGUGCAUCUUCAUACCCUUGAAGAUCGCUAAGCGGAAGCGUUACAAGAAUGCGGUUGAUGGAGUCGUACUCGCGGCGAUUCAAAUCGCGGAAGAUCCGAUCUAGCGCCGAACGGACGGCGCCUCCGCGUUCAACACACGUACAGCCCGGGGACGUCUCCUUCUUCUUGAUCCAGCAAGGGGAGAGGAGAAGUUGAGGGAGAACUUCAGCAGCACGACGGCGUGGUGGCAAUGGAGCUCGUGGUUCUCCGGCAGAGCUUCUCUAAGCACUACGUAGGAGGAGGAGGAGUUGGAGGAGGAGAGGGCUGCGCCAGGGAAGAGGUACGGCUGCCCUCCCACCCCUCCACUAUAUAUAGGGGCAAGGGGAGAGGGGAAGGCGCCCUAGGGUUUCCCCUAGGGGGCGGCGGCCAAGCAGAUUGGAUCUCCCUAGGGAAAAUCCUAGGGAGACUUGCCCCCCAAGCCAAGCAGGUGGAGGCUUUCCUCCCAAGUCAGGUGGAGGCGCCCCACCUCCCCAAGUAACGUGGGAAAGGGUGUGGGGGGCGCACCACCCCUUAGUGGGCUGGUUUGCCCCUUCCCCUUUGGCCCAUGAGGCCCUCCAACACUUGCCGGGGCUCCCGAAACACCUUUCGGUCAUGCUGGCCAUAGCCUGGUACCCCCGGAACACUUCCGGACUCCAAUACCCUUCGUCCAAUAUAUCGAUCUUCACCGCCGGACCAUUCCGGAACUCCUCGUGACGUCCGGGAACACAUCCGGGACUCCGAACUACCUUCGGUAACCACAUACUAUUUCCCAUAACAACUCUAGUGUCACCGAACCUUAAGUGUGUAGACCCUACGGGUUCGGGAACCAUGCAGACAUGACCAAGACACCUCUCCGGCCAAUAACCAAUAGCGGGAUCUGGAUACCCAUAUUGGCUCCCACAUGUUCCACGAUGAUCUCAUCGGAUGAACCACGAUGUCGGGGAUUCAAUCAAUCCCGUAUACAAUUCCCUUUGUCUAUCGGUAUGUUACUCGCCCGAAAUUCGAUCGUCGGUAUCCCAAUACCUCGUUCAAUCUCGUUACCGGCAAGUCACUUUACUCGUCCUGUAACGCAUGAUCCCGUGGCUAACUCAUUAGUCACACUGAGCUCAUUAUGAUGAUGCAUUACCGAGUGGGCCCAGAGAUACCUCUCCGUCAUACGGAGUGACAAAUCCCAGUCUUGAUUCGUGCCAACCCAACAGACACUUUCGGAGAUACUUGUAAUGCACCUUUAUAGCCACCCAGUUACGUUGUGACGUUUGGUACACCCAAAGUAUUCCUACAGUAUCCGGGAGUUGCACAAUCUCAUGGUCUAAGGAAAUGAUACUUGACAUUAGAAAAGCUCUAGCAAACGAACUACACGAUCUUGUGCUAUGCUUAGGAUUGGGUCUUGUCCAUCACAUCAUUCUCCUAAUGAUGUGAUCACGUUAUCAAUGACAUCCAAUGUCCAUGGUCAGGAAACCAUAACCAUCUAUUGAUCAACGAGCUAGUCAACUAGAGGCUUACUAGGGACAUGUUGUGGUCUAUGUAUUCACACAUGUAUUACGAUUUCUAGUUAAUACAAUUAUAGAAUGAACAAUAGACAAUUAUCAUGAACAAGGAAAUACAAUAAUAACCAUUUUAUUAUUACCUCUAGGGCAUAUUUUCAACAAGGACACUCAAGUUUAUGUUUAUGGACACAUCAACUCUUGAUGCCAAGGCAAAGGCAUAUGUUGAACUUUGUCGCGAUGAAAUGUGAAGAAGCAAAUGCUCAUGAGGCAAAUGAUGAUGGGAGGAGGCAUGGGAGGUGCCAUGGGAGGAGGCAUAGGAGGUGCCAUGGGUGGUUACAUGAACAUGAUUGGGGGUUCCAUGAAUGGUGCAUUUGGCGGAAAUAUGGGAGGUGGCUUCGGUGGCAACAUGGAAGGUGGCUUUGGCGGCAUGGGAGGUGGCUUUGGCGACAACAUGAUGGGUGGCUUGGGACGUGGCUAUGGCGGCAACAUGAGUGGCGUUGGAGUUGGCUUCGUCGGCAACAUGACCGGUAUGGGACGCAAUGAAGAUGCUUCCGGUGGUGCUCACGGCAACGAGAGUUCACCGCUUGUUGAGAACGUCGACAAAGACGGUGGUGAAGAUGAUGAUCAUACCACGGUUCACAACGCCGGUGGUGUUGAUGACCCGCAUGAGUAAUAUUUAUGUGCAUUUCAAUUUCUAGGGCGAAAAACUUUGAUUGAGACGACGGUCUUUUGGUAGAGGGAUUUGAUACUAUGAUGGUGAUGCACUUUUGAUUGAAACUAUGAUGAUGAUGCACUUUAUUUUCAAAAAAAAUUAUGCUAUUUCAAUGCAAAACCGCGGCUGAACAGUGGCUGGCAGCAGCCGCACGGCCGUUUUCAGAUUUUUACAUCUUUGGUUUGGACCAUCUAUUGGAGUUGCUCUUUUGGACCAUCAAUUUGGACCAUUUGUUGGAGUUGAGCGUUUCUCGGAGCUCCAAAAUGCACCUUUUGACGGUCCAAAUUUUAUAUCUUCGGUUUUGGACCGCCAAAAUUUGAACCAUCUAUUGGAGAUGCUCUUAUGUUUGUGCAUAUGAAAUUCUGAAGUUGUGCUUAUAAAUUUUUUGUGGUGUAUGGUUGCAGGAUAUCCAUGCCGAGGCUGCAAAGAAGAGGCGGCUCACAACCAAAAGGCCGUAUUCCAGGUCCUUUGUCGGUGCUUCCCUUGAUGUUAUCUAGAAGAAGAGAGCCGAGAAGCCUGAGGUUCGUGAUGCAGCCAGGAAAGCAGCUCUCCGGUAGCACUUCCUUCUCCCUGGCUUCCGACUCCUGCUUCUAGAUAUUGUGAUGUGCUAUACCAUGAAAACUAGCAUGAACCAACAUGUUCUUCUUAUGUUGCAUGUCAAACUAGGAUUGUUAUACCUGUCAACUGAGCAUCAUCCGUGUAAUAUCCACUAUGUGUUUUUGUUCCUGUUUAAUCAAUGCACAAACAUGAGCGCAGUCUUGGCACCUUGAUUUUCUAUAUGAUGUGUAUCUGUGAGUUAUUUAUAGUGGUAACUGUUGUACAAGAGUGAGAUCAAAGAGCGCAUCAAGAAGACCAAGGACGAGAAGAGAGCUAAGAAGGUGGAGGUGACGAAGUCCUAGAGAAGACCGUUGGAAGAGGCAACGCCCCCAAACCCGGGAAGGCCUCCAAGCUUUGCGGCGGCGGGGGGAAGCGCUAGGCAGCAACACCCAGUUAUGUGAUCAACGUCAAAUUCUGAACCUAGUAGUUAUGUGAUGGCUUACCCAGUAUCUUCAGGAAUGUUUUGCGGGGAUCAAAGUUCAUGCUUGUCAGAGGUGUUAUUCUGUACUUGCUGUUUGCUACUUCUUCUACCUAUCAAUGCAAUGAUGCGGUGCGUAUCCGUGAAAAAAAGUAGAGGUUGUUUCUUCUGUUUAUUAUACAGUAUAUCUGAUCAAUGUGAAGAUUGUGAGUGUGUGUUUAUCCAAUUGGUGUUUCUUUCGCACCACGCUGUUGAUUAUUUGUCCGAAACCUAUCGAAGCCGGUCUUCGUAGUUCGUAGACCCUUUCUCAUGACACGCCUGUCAUUAUCCACGAAGUUUCCACUUAAUAACUCGAUGUUAAUCGAUGCGGCGCACGGCCGAAAUAUCGUCGGAGCGCGACCUUGUGAGGUGAUGCUGCUUUUGGCUGGGUCAGGCCGCCACGGAAGCAGUUGAUUCAACGGCCGUGGUCGCCAAGCACUUACUCCGUUACUCGUACAGUAGGAGUAGUAGAUUAGUCCUGGUAGGUGUUGAGAUUAAUUCAGCGGGCUGGUCGGUGCCUGGUUCAGCGCACCUUGAUCCCGGAGAAAACUAAGGUUCAGUGAACCUCGUACCAACACCAACCCCAGGGAGCACGUGCUUUGCCUUUCACAAUUUGUUUAGCGUGAUUGUCUUGAUAAGACCGAAGGGGUGGCUUAAAGAAAGGAUCGUUGUCUCAGACGGACAGGAUCAUAUCCGAUCGUACGGCUAGUCGGCGCCGACAUGUCACUUAAGCGACAGAAAAGCACGUGGUAGGUGAAGCUCGCCGCAUGCUUUCUUCGGAGAUUGUUUGCGCAAAUCACGUGUGAUAUUCUGUUCAUCUGACUAAAGAUUGUUGUCUAGUUUGCAUCUACUAACUCAGGAUCUACAACCGGACCUCUCAAAUCCGAUCCGCCUCAUACGUCCGGAUGGACCGUCCGUUUACUGCCUGAUCAUUAUUUUUUGACCCAGACAUGUCCCUUAAACGCUCAGGCUGACUGGCACCCAUAUGUCCAGCCCAAAUAUGGGGUGGAUAAGGGGUGCCUGGGCGCAUCCGGACACGCCUGCCGCGUCAGACCCGACAGCCUGACCCCAUUCCAAAUUGCAUCAAAUCCACCAAACUCUUCCUCCUCCUCCAGCCGCCAGCCAACCAUUCCCGUGUUCGGACCCUCCCCGUCCUUCACCCUUGCUCCCAAUCCUCACCUCAGGUCCCGAUACAUCGCCGAAGAUGUCCUCCAGCCCGACCCACACCGCUGCGACAGAGACGCAGUCCGCCUCGUCCGUCGGCGGCAUGAUUUCGUCGGCGAAGAACGUCACCCACAAGUUGCGGUGAUGCCGACAGCGAAAGAGGGAGGCGGCGGCGUCGCAGCGGGGUUCGGACAUGGUGGAGCAGUUGUCUCCUCCGCCUCGCCCGGAUGCAAGCAGAGCAGGACGAGCAUGACGCAUUCCGCUCGGAGCAGGCGCCCAGCCAGCGAUCCGAGGCCAUCUGUCACGCUCGGACAUUGAUUUCAUUUUGCCAUGUCCGGUUUGGUGAACUAUGAUUUGUUUUUGCUUUGUUUCAAACUUUGGCAUUCAGAUAGUUUGUACCGUAUGAUCGACAUGCAUUGAUUGGAUGAAUUUGAGGAUCGAAAUUUACGGUAUGUGGAUGUAUGUGGAUGUGCGGCGCAACAUUUGAGGGGUGUCCAGUCAUUGCCCGCGGAUGCAUCCGGGCGUGUCCGUGGGCGUUUAAGGGCCUGAUGUGCCAAGUCCGUUGUAGAUGCUCUAAACGUUCUUAUAUUUCUUUGCAAAGAGAGUAAUAAUCAAAUUUAAAAAAAAGGAGUUUUGUUCUGUUCAUCUAACUAAAGAUUUCUGUCUAGUUUGCAUCUAACAAUCCAAUUAAAAGGGAGUUUUGUUCAGAUUUUGGGAUGAAAAUCUGCAUUGCCGUAGCUUUGAGAUGGCUCCCCGCUGUAUGUGUAAGGGCGGUUUGAGCAGGCUAGAAAUCUUGAGCUCGGUCAGCAACUUGCAAAAGCUAUCCGUUGGACUUGAGAUCGAGGUUGAUCCUCCUCCAAUGAAUCGAAGUCACUCCUGUGUCAGCUUCGUUUGUGUCCCUCAGCGCCUGGCGUGGCAUGCCAAUGAGUGUUGAUGGGCACACGACCUCGCUUCACUCCCCUCUACCAGGCAGGGAUGGGAUCGACCUCCAGCCUCGUGUAUGCAGUAGGUCGCAGACAAAGUUCCAGCGGAAAGGCGUUCACACCAUCUCGGGCGUCCGUGCAGGUGCAGGUGCAGUGCACCCCGGCCCAUGCGAGCAAGUGGAUCAUUGCGCUCUACUAGAAGAAAAAAAAAAUGCAUGGUACAUCUGUUAGCUCAGCAUCGGGCCGUGCCUGCCGCAGCCACGUACGCCGAGGCCGUCGACCCGAUCGACCACCCACGCCUUUCCGAUAUGUCCCCGACGUGUCUCCGUGCGUGUCGCUCGCGGUCGACACCCACCGAGAGCGACGGCACGUCGCACGUCCGACCCACCCACUUGACCCCGGCUUCCCUCCCCAGAAAUGUGGACCACGUCGCGGCCCGGACGCCGAUGCACCUGGACACCCCACGCCGAGCAGCACGCACAGGACUGGAGAUCGACCGAUCGUGUCGACGCGCGCCCAGCGCCACGCGACGGCCCGCGACUCGGUGGUCACCGUCGCACGCUGCGCGACAAGGAAGGCCGGGCGGGGGAAAGCGCGCUGCGCUUUUCGGCGUGGCAUGUGUCCGGCCAGGGCCAGCCGCCUGGUGCGGGUGUGGGCCGACUCGGCCGCGAACGAUCCGGUGGACCGGUUGGUCGCCGCGUGUGCGGCUGCGUGACCGCAACAAUACGGGGGAAAAGCGCAGGACUGUGUCGCGACUUGCGAGGGGAUAAUCUAGCGCUGCUGCGGUGUGGUGUGGUGCACCCGCGGGCGAAUCUUGCCGACGAGUGCCGAGCCUGCAUCGCGGUGGCAGCGACCCGCGAUGAUUCGAUCAGCCGUUUCCGGCGCUCCUACUAUCUCCGUCCUGGUUUAUUAUCUCCCUUUAUAAUUUGUGCUAAGUUUUAAUCAAAGAUUUAACUGAUAAAAUGUUAGUGCAUGUCAAUAAAAUUAUAUGUUGGAUUCGUAUUUUUAACAUAGUUUUAAUGAUAUACUUUUUAGUGACAUGCAUGAACAUUUUGUAAGUUAAAUUUACUAUCAAAAUUUGGCACAGAUUACAAUGGAGGCCAAUAAAACAGGACGGAGGUAGUACUCCCUCCGUCCGGAAAUACUUGUCGAAGAAAUGCAUAAAAAUGGAUGUAUCUAGAACUAAAAUACGUCUAGAUACAUUCAUUCCUCCGACGAGUAUUUCCGGACGGAGGGAGUAUGUGCUAUUGUUGCGAGGUCGCGUCCGGAAGUGACGGGAGAGAAAGGGCUCUCGGUUGACGGGUAGAUCUUAUGGCAAUUCCAAAGCGCCGACACAUUUCGCGUGGACAUGUAGCGCUGCGUCCUUCCUUGGUGUGAUGUAGCGAACGCCCGCGGCGUCCUUCCUUGGUGUGAUCGUCUGUGGCACAUCAUCUCCAUUCCCAUCAUUUCUCUCCCGCCCUCCCGCCAUGGCCGUCCACCUCGUGGGCCCGAAGAAGCUGAUGAAGGAGAUCACCCAGGAGGAGAGUGCGGCCGGGACGACGAAGCAAGCCAACCGAAGGAAGAGGGGCAAGGAAAAAAGGAGACACCACAUACACUCACGCCAUCACCGUCAAGGCCGCGCAAACUGCCCUCCUCCUACUAGAGUUUCGUGAUCCGACCUGCUCGCCGCCGCCACGUCGGCACGCCGGCCCAAGCUACCGGAGUCGUCGCGCAUGUCAACAACGUUGCCGAUGUACGGGUAAUUUCCCGGACACGACCCGACAACGUCCCACUAUUCCAUGUAACCUCGGGAAGGAUCACCGGAAAUGGGUGACUCCAUGUCGAUCAUCUUGUGGUGCCUUCCAUUGAUCUCAAUGCCACACCUAUGGCUGGCUAGUCCACCGGGACGCAAAGUAAGUGCCUGCCGGCGGUCUACCCGACAACUUUCUCGAUGCCCGCAACCUAUUUGAUGUAAGCCGCGUAUUGAGGACUGUGAGCUUAACAAUGAGAGGCCAUGUUCAAUUGUUGUUGAAGCAGACGAUGUUAGGGCAUCUCCAACGGCAACCCGCAAAAAACCUCCCACAUUCGUCCACAUACAGGGGGGCCAGUCCGCGGACACGGAUACGGGAGGCAGCCAUCCGACGCUAGCCGCAUACAUUUUCACAACAACUCAAACCAACCGGACAAAAUUCAUGCAAACACGUGCGGAUUUCAUGUGAACUCGACCGGAUUUCAUACAAACAUGACAGAUUUCAUAUAAACAUGACGAGUUUCAGUACAUUUACAUCAACGGUGCUACUCCGGCUCUGAAGGUAUAGUUAAUACCUAAUCUAAAUUGCCGCCCGCGGACUCCUUUGUCUUCCUCAUGUCCAGCAGCCCAAUCACUGGAUUGUCGGGACCCACGAAGCCGAAGGUAUAAGCUUCAGCGCAAAGGACAGCUCGCUUCCCCGCCACUCAUCGAAGUGUAACCCCGGUUGAUGCUUCAGCGGGAGGGGCAGGCGGUGCCUCCGCUUCUGUGAAGCCCAUGUGGGAUCGACAAAGGUCCUCGAAAGAGAAGAACCGGGCAAGACACCGACUGUGUACGCCGGUGUCGCCUAGGCGGUGGCCUUCGUGGGACCCAAGUGGCGGCUGACUCCAUUGUUCUACUUCUCCUCGAUGAUGGCGGCGGACGCGGAUGCACCGGCCACUGAGUCGUCGCUCUCCGCGCACUCGGCUUCUGCCUCUACCUGCAUGGUGUGGUCGUAGGCCCGAGAGGCGCGGUUGCAGGCACAAAAGGCGCGGUCACAGAAGCGGGAGGCGCGGUGGUCGACGGCAGCGAUGACGCCCGUGCCGUUGUGCUCCCCGUCGUGUCGAUGUCGAGCAACUGACCACUCCUCAUCGGGUGGUCCUGGAGUGGGGAGUUGCUGAACCACGCGACGGCUUGGGGCGGCAACUUGCUCCGUCGGGUGAAGCUCGGGAGGUGGAGCAGCGAGCUGCCUCGCUCGUAUCCGGCCGACUCGGCGGGCUACCUAGCAGGCUUGUAUGCUAGAGAACUGCUCUUCGUAAGCCAUCAGAAGAGUGGGGGAGGAGGACAUUGGGGGAGCGGCGGAGGGGUGUGGUUCUUUCCCGGUGUCUGCCGUCGUUUAAAUAUGGAACUUGCCAUUGUGUUACUUUUUAUGCCACUAUUUAAUCAUACACCAACUGUCUUUGUCCUUGGUUGAAAACGUACCACCACCCCCUCUCCCUCCACCCUAGUGUCAUCGUUGAAUGAUGCCACCGACCUAAGCUUGUACACUAAACUAGCGGCAAAGGGGUUCCUUGCAACAAUUUCCUCGAAGGUUCGGGGUAUGGUCUCCCUCAUUGAACAGCACCUUCGGUGGCCGAGAGCAGGCAUUGCCCUCGGGCACCGGUGAGGACGCAUUUGCACACGACAUGGCUCUCGUGCGGCCUUUUGUUACAAUUACAACUAUGUGGAUAUUGCAACAGACCUGGCCAGACUCCAGUGAGGUGGAAUAUGGGCAUGCAGGGAUAGACAGACCAACUAGCCAUGUGAUUGGGAAAUGUGAGGUUGGCGAUGAAAGCCAUGGUAAACUUUGAUUGGAGCAGAUGAUGCCGUAUCUAGGUGGCAUUACUUUGUUGUAGGCGUCAAAGGGUAUAGUUCUUGUCUUCCGGGAUGCUCGGGAGAAACCAUAGAUUUUGGUCUUCCGAGGUCAAUCGAUUAAUUGGGCAUUCUUGUGUCUCUGAUUAUCCCACGAUUCUCCGGUUUUAUUAUGCGGAUCAGAGGCAAUUAUAAUCAUUCCGUUGAUCAAUGUUUAAUCUUUUCAGAAUAACAAUUCUAAAGAAAAUAACCACUAGAGUUUCAUCUUCAUACUUAUUCUGUCUCAAAAUGUAGACGUUCUUUGAUACUAUCAUAACGUUAAAAAAUGUCUUAUACAUUUUAAAUGCAUAUUUGACAAAAAAACUACCACAUUUCACGUCAUCGUCCCACAGUACUAUCGCAUUUUGAAAAGUGACCGAAAACUCCAGAUUAGUACUAAUUUUGUGACAAAAAAACUACCAACUUGAGUUGAUGACCGUUUUUAUGAUUUUAAACCUGUUUAUGACAUGCGGGACCCGCGUGUCAAAGCUGACAUGGCGAGAAAGUCAACUCCUUUAUUUUUUACCAUCAAGUUGACUGAUGGGGCCCACACAUCAACAUCAACUUCUUCCUCCUCCUCCUCCUCUCUCUCUAUGUGGCAUUUUAACAAACACUUCAUGUGCACACAUGGGGAUGAGCAGCAGUGCAUGGCCACCGGCCGCAGCCGCGGCCACAGGCGACGAGCAGCAUUAGAGGCCAGUACGACCAUGCGCAGCAGCUCGCCCUGCCGCCCCCACACCUGCUGCUCGCCGGCGGCCCUUGCUGCCACGAGAAGCCGAGAAUGGUGUCGUGCCCGCCUCCUGGUCAACAACGGUGGUUCACGACCUCGCGCUCGCCAUCGGAGGACGAGGCGUUCGUGCGGGUCGUCGCGCUCUACGUCGACGACGGCGACGCCAUGCACCCUGGCUUCCUCGAGUCGGUAGACCCAGGAGGCGGCCUCGAGCGUGCAGGCGGCCGAGUUCCACCAGGGCUACCGGAAGGGCGCGGAGGCCCUGUACCAGUAGGCCUUGUAGGCGGCGUCGGCUAGGGAGCAGGGCAGGAGGAAGCAGGCGAGGACGCGGAAGGAGUGGUUGAGCUGCGCGGUGUAGCCGGCGCGCACCUCAUCCGAGUCGUGUCGGAGACGGUCGAUGCAGAGCACGGGGCGGAGGCCGACCAGGAGCAGUGAGCAGAGGGAGAGGAAGGCGAGCGUGGCGGUUGUUGGGAAUCGUUGCAUGGAAAAUAAAAAAAUUCAACGCACACGCAAUGAUCUAUCCAUGGAGAUGCAUAGCAACGAAGGGAAAAGUAUGUCUACGUACACUCGUAGACCGUAAGCGGAAGCGUUUAAUAACGCGGUUGAUGUAGUCAAACUUUCUUCGUGCUCCAACCGAUCUAGUAUCAAACGCACGCCACCUCCGCGUUCUGCACACGUUCGACUCGGGGAUGUCCUACGCCUUCUUGAUCCAGCAAGACGGCGAGGUAGUAGCUGAGUUCCGACAGCACGAAGGCGUGGUGACGGUGAUGGUGAUGUGAUCUCUGCAGGGAUUCACCUAAGCACUACGAAAAUAUGAUCGAGGGAGUAAACGGUGGACGGGGGCGCCGCACAUGGCUAAGACAAUCUUGUGUCCUUGUGUGGCGCCCCCACCCCACAUAUAUAUAUAGGUGGAAGGGGGGAGGAGGCAGCCUAGGGCUGGCUGCCGGCCCAAGGGCUCCUGCGCCCCCUUUCCUUGUAUGAAUAAGGGGGAAGGAAAGAGGGGGGGGAGGAAGCGGGAGUCCUACUCCACACUUUCCUUUCCCACCCCUCUUUCCUUCUCCUCCUCAUAGGGCCGACCUCUAUAGGGGUGCACCAGCCCCUUGUGGGCUGGUGUGUUUCCUCUGUUGGCCCAUAAGGCCCAGAUCUUUGCCGGGGGUGUCCGAAACUCCUUUCCGGUGACCCGAUAAGUACUCGGUACCCUCCGAAACACUAUCGGUGUACGAAUACCAUCAUCCUAUAUAUCAAUAUUUACCUCUCGACCAUUUCGAGACUCCUCGUCAUGUCCGUGAUCUCAUCCAGGACUCCGAACAAAUUUCGGUCACCAAAUCACAUAACUCAUAUAAUAUUAUAUCGUCAACAAACGUUAAGCGUAGGGACCCUACGGGUUCGAGAACUAUGUAGACAUGACCGAAACACCUCUCCGGUAAAUAACCAAUAGCGGAACCUGGAUGCCCAUAUUGGCUCCUACAUAUUCUACGAAGAUCUUUAUCGGUCGAACCGUUACGACAACAUAUGGAAUUCCCUUUGUCCAUCGGUAUGUUACUUGCCCGAGAUUCAAACAUCGGUAUCUCUAUACCUAGUUCAAUCUCGUUACCGGCAAGUCUCUUUACUCGUUCCGUAAUACAUCACCUCGUGACCAACUCCUUAGUCAUUUGCUUGCAAGCUUAUGAUGUGUAUUAACGAGAGGGCCCAGAGAUACCUCUCUGAUAUUCGGAGUGACAAAUCCUAAUCUCGAUCUAUGCCAACUCAAUAAACACCUUUGGAGAUACCUGCAGAGCAUCUUUAUGAUCACACAGUUAUGUUGUGACAUUUGAUAGCACACAAGGUAUUCCUCCGGUAUCCGGGAGUUGCAUAAUCUCAUAGUCGAAGGAAUAUGUAUUUGACAUGAAGAAAGCAAUAGCAAUAAAACUGAACCAUCAUUAUGCUAAGCUAACGGAUGGGUCUUGUCCAUCACAUCAUUCUCCUAAUGAUGUGAUCCCGUUAUCAAAUGACAACUCAUGUCCAUGGUCAGGAAACCUUAACCAUAUUUGAUCAAUGAGCUAGUCUAGUAGAGGCUUACAAGGGACACAGUGUUUGUUUAUGUAUUCACACAUGUAUUUAAGUUUUCGAUCAAUACAAUUAUAGCAUGAAUAAUAAACCUUAUCAUGAAUAAGGAAAUAUAAAAUAACAACUUUAUCAUUUCCUCUACGGCAUAUUUCCUUCAGCGGCCAGGGUGAGGGACACCUACACCUGCCCGUCCAGGGGCCGCGGUGGCGCGGAGGCCGGGAGGGUGAGGGUGAUAUGAGGUGGCGACGACGAGCUCCUCUCAUCGGAUGAUGCACAUGAGGUAUUUGUUAAAAUGCCAAAGAGGGAGGGAGAGAGGAGGAAGAAGAAUGAUGUGUGGGCCCCACCUGUACUAAUGGUCAACGUAGCUGUCAAAAUAAACGGAAUUGACUUUCCCGCCACGUCAGCUCUGACACGCGGGUCCCGCAUGUCAUAAAAGGUUUAAAAUCAUAAAAUGGUCAUGAACUCAACUUGGUAGUUUUUUGUCACAAAAUUAAUACUAAUCUGGAGUUUACGGUCAUUUUUCAAAAUGUAGUAGUUAUGUGGGACGAUGACGUGAAAUGUGGUAGUUUUUUUGUCAAAUACUAGAGGGAGCACACUUGAAUGGCGGAUAAGAGGGACAUGAACAUGAUAGAUGCUCCAUUUCACUGACAACGCAUAAAGUCUAUCACUUCAGUUCAAGCUUAUCUGGACAAUCGAUCAAUAGUGCUUUCUUUUGUUGACUGUGGUUGUGAUGAGCGCACCGCGCACGCACGCUAUGUCGUGGAGGGCAGAUCAGGUGAUCACACUCCAGAUUCCGCGUAUAGCACCAAACACGCUUAGCCACGCCUAGGGCAUCAUUUGGUCAGGGCUGAACACAGGAGCAAUCCUCCUGCUCAUAUACCGGAGGCUGGAGACUUCUUUCGCCUCUCUAAAAAACUAUUUUAGUCAAAUAACUUGGUUCCCACGUAACUGGAUGUUAAUCCCGCUGCGGCGCUCGGAGGCCGCCAUGCCGUCGUAAGAACGCGACCUGCCGAUCUGACAUUUCUCUGAGAAAUGCGUCGUCUGAACCGGUCGUGGCCGUCGAUCGGGUCCUCUUUGUGCCGGUAGGUAUGUAGAAUUGCUGCGGCUGCAGCUUUUGACGGCGGCUCUCGGUGGUUGCUUUGCUAGGUUCAGUGUACCUUUGCCUUUCUUUGCUCCGGUCCAUUGCAAGAAAAUGUUCGGUGUACCGCUCCGCUCAUACGACCGAUCUGAGGAGCACGUGCGAUGUUUGUUUAGCAUGCAUGGUUGUAUUACGGAUAAAACUGGAGGCGAUCGUUGUCGCGGACAACAUUACGGCUCGGCGGCGCCGACGUAUCACUUCCCAAUGAAAAAAGCAAGUGGCAGACAGAGUGUACGCACGGGCUUUCUUAGAGCAUGGCGGCCUCCGAAUGUCGCGGACGAUAUUAUGGCUCGGCAGGCGCCCCAAACCGGCCUCGAACGCCCGGUCGGCCCUUCCGAUCAUUGAUCGAUCACGAUUUUCCGAUCUAAGCGGGUCCUUCAAAUGGGACUCAAACGUCCGGGCUGUCCGACAUCCUUUAUAUCCAGCCUAAAUAAAUGGUGAAUAUAGGGCGUCCGGGCACGUCCGCCACGUCGAUCUGACGACGAAGUCCCACGCGUAAACGUCCGGAAACCCGGCAGUCCGACGGAGGUUGCGUCCGUCGCUGUGGUGUGAACACCGCGUGGCGCCGCUCCGGCUCACCGUCCAAGACCAAAUCCGGCUAUUUAAGCCGGCCGGCGUCCCGCAACCCUAACUCAUCCGCCUCUCCCUUCUCCGCGCCGCCAGUCCGAGCCCAUCCACCUCCUCCCUCUCCCGCUCAGGCGCUUCGCCACGGUUCGGAGGAAGAUCACCUACUACGCAAUGCUCACACCGGAGCGCCACUACGAGAUCCGGGCGAGACAAGCCGCGCGUUCUGCCCACAUCGUUGUCGGGUUGCCUUCGGACUCGCCGGAGCCGGAGGAGGAGGAGGAGCAGCCAGCAGAAGAGGGGGAGGAGGAGGCUUCGAUGAAGGUGGAGGAGACGGAGGAGGCGGAGCAGCAGGAGCAGGAGUUGCCGGGCUUCAACGGGAGCAGGCGGAGGCGGAGUUCGCCAUCGCCUAGUCGGAGAGAUGGCGCAGCAGCAGGCCAUCCUCGAGUCCGUCCAGGAUGAGACUAUGUGGAGGCCAACCGGGCGUUCCUCCGACACGAGUAGGCGGCGUCCCGACGCGCUCUUCGCCGAACUCGACGCGGAGACAGAGGUGUCGGAGGCCGGAGCGUAGCAACCGGAGGUGUCGGAGGAGCCAGAGCUGCAGCUGCUGAAGGAAAUAUGCCCUAGAGGCAAUAAUAAAGUUAUUAUUUAUUUCCUUAUAUCAUGAUAAAUGUUUAUUAUUCAUGCUAGAAUUGUAUUAACCGGAAACCUGAUACAUGUGUGAAUACAUAGACAAACAGAGUGUCACUAGUAUGCCUCUACUUGACUAGCUCGUUGAUCAAAGAUGGUUAUGUUUCCUAGCCAUAGACAUGAGUUGUCAUUUGAUUAACGGGAUCACAUCAUUAGGAGGAUGAUGUGAUUGACUUGACCCAUUCCGUUAGCUUAGCACUCGAUCGUUUAGUAUGUUGCUACUGCUUUCUUCAUGACUUAUACAUGUUCCUAUGAUUAUGAGAUUAUGCAACUCCCGUUUACCGGAGGAACACUUUGUGUGCUACCAAACGUCACAACGUAACUGGGUGAUUAUAAAGGUGCUCUACAGGUGUCUCCGAAGGUACUUGUUGGGUUGGCGUAUUUCGAGAUUAGGAUUUGUCACUCCGAUUGUCGGAGAGGUAUCUCUGGGCCCUCUCGGUAAUGCACAUCACUAUAAGCCUUGCAAGCAUUGUAACUAAUGAGUUAGUUGCGGGAUGAUGUAUUACGGAACGAGUAAAGAGACUUGCCGGUAACGAGAUUGAACUAGGUAUUGAGAUACCGACGAUCCAAUCUCGGGCAAGUAACAUACCGAUGACAAAGGGAACAACGUAUGUUGUUAUGCGGUCUGACCGAUAAAGAUCUUCAUAGAAUAUGUGGGAGCCAAUAUGAGCAUCCAGGUUCCGCUAUUGGUUAUUGACCGGAGACGUGUCUCGGUCAUGUCUACAUAGUUCUCGAACCCGUAGGGUCCGCACGCUUAAAGUUCGAUGACGGUGAUAUUAUGAGUUUAUGUGUUUUGAUGUACCGAAGGUAGUUCGGAGUCCCGGAUGAGAUCGGGGACAUGACAAGGAGUCUCAAAAUGGCCGAGAAGUAAAGAUCGAUAUAUUGGACGACUAUACUUGGACUUCGGAUAGGUUCCGAGUGAUUCGGGUAUUUAUCGGAGUACCGGAGAGUUACGAGAAUUCGCCGGGGAGAAGUAUUGGGCCUUAUUGGGCCAUACGGGAAUAGAGGAGAGAGGCCAAAAGGAAGGAGGCGCGCACCCCCCCUCUGGUCCGAAUUGGACAAGGGGUGCAGCCCCCUUUUCCUUCUCCCUCUCCCCCUCUUUCCUUCUCUCCUACUCCAACAAGGAAAGGAGGAGUCCUACUCCCGGUGGGAGGAGGACUCCCCCCUUGGCGCACCCUCCUCCUUGGCCGGCCGCCUCCCCCUUGCUCCUUUAUAUACGGGGGCAGGGGGGCACCCCAUAGACACAACAAUUGAUCGUUUGAUCUUUUAGCCGUGUGCGGUGCCCCCCUCCACCAUAGUCUACCUCGAUAAUACUGUAGCGGUGCUUAGGCGAAGCCCUGCGUCGGUAGAACAUCAUCCUCAUCACCACGCCGUCGUGCUGACGAAACUCUCCCUCAACACUCGGCUGGAUCGGAGUUCGAGGGACGUCAUCGGGCUGAACGUGUGCUGAACUCGGAGGUGCCGUGCGUUCGGUACUUGAUCGGUCGGAUCGUGAAGACGUACGACUACAUAAUUGUUGUUCCGUUUACAUGAAUAAAACCUUCUAUGGUCAUACACCCAAUGAAAAUGGUUUGUUGAUUCUCGAUCGUAGUGAUACACAUAUUCAUAAUAUUGAAGCCAAAAGAUGCAAAGUUAAUAAUGAUAGUGCAACUUAUUUGUGGCACUGCCGUUUAGGUCAUAUUGGUGUAAAACGCAUGAAGAAACUCCAUGCUGAUGGGAUUUUGGAAUCACUUGAUUAUGAAUCACUUGAUGCUUGCGAACCAUGCCUAUUGGGCAAGAUGACUAAAACGCCGUUCUCCGGAACAAUGGAGCAAGCAACAGAUUUGUUGGAAAUCAUACAUACUGAUGUAUGUGGUCCGAUGAAUAUUGAGGCUCGUAGCGGGUAUCAUUAUUUUCUGACCUUCACAGAUGAUUUGAGCAGAUAUGGGUAUAUCUACUUAACGAAACAGAAGUCUGAAACAUUUGAAAAGUUCAUAUAAUUUCAGAGUGAAGUGAAAAAUCAUCGUAACAAGAAAAUAAAGUUUCUACGAUCUGAUCGUGGAGAAGAGUAUUUGAGUUACGAGUUUGGUCUUCAGUUAAAACAAUGUGAAAUAGUUUCACUGCUCACGCCACCUGGAACACCACAGUGUAAUGGUGUGUCCGAACAUCGUAACCGUACUUUAUUAGAUAUGGUGCAAUCUAUGAUGUCUCUUACCGAUUUACCACUAUCGUUUUGGGGUUAUGCAUUAAAGACAGUUGCAUCCACGUUAAAAAGGGCACCGUCUAAGUCCGUUGAGACGACACAAUAUGAACUGUGGUUUGGCAAGAAACCAAAGUUGUCGUUACUUAAAGUUUGGGGUUGUGAUGCUUAUAUGAAAAAGUUUCAUCCUGAUAAGCUCAAACCCAAAUCGGAGAAGUAUGUCUUCAUAGGAUACCCAAAGGAGACUGUUGGGUACACCUUCUAUCACAGAUCCAAAGGCAAGACAUUCGUUGCUAAGAAUAGAUCCUUUCUGGAGAAGGAGUUUCUCUCGAAAGAAGUGAGUGGGAGGAAAGUAAAACUUGAUGAGGUAAUUGUACCUUCUCCCGAAUUGGAGAAUAGUUCAUCACAGAAAUCAGUUCCAGUGAUGCGUACACCAAUUAGUGAGGAAGUUAAUGAUGAUGAUCAUAAAACUUCGGAUCAAGUUACUACAGAACUUCGUAGAUCAACCAGAGCACGAUCUGCCCCAGACUGGUACGGUAAUCAUGUACUGGAAGUCAUGUUACUAGACCAUGAUAAACCUACGAACUAUGAGGAAGCGAUGAUGAGCCCAGAUUCCGCAAAAUGGCUUGAGGCCACGAAAUCGGAGAUGGGAUCCAUGUAUGAGAACAAAGUUUGGACUUUGGUUCACUUGCCCGGUGAUCGGUAAGCCAUAGAAAAUAAAUGGAUCUUCAAGAGAAAGAUGGACGCUGAUAGUAGUGUUACUAUCUACAAAGCUAGAAUUGUCGCAAAAAUGUUUCGACAAGUUCAAGGUGUUGACUACGAUGAGAGUUUCUCACUCGUAUCUAUGCUUAAGUCUGUCCGAAUCAUGUUAGCAAUUGCCGCAUUUUAUGAAAUCUGGCAAAUGGAUAAACAAAACUGCAUUCCUUAAUGGAUUUAUUAAAGAAGAGUUGUAUAUGAUGCAACCAGAAGGUUUUUUUCAAUCCUAAAGGUGCUAAAAAAAUAUGCAAGCUCCAGCGAUCCAUCUAUGGACUGGUGCAAGCAUCUCGGAGUUGGAAUAUACGCUUUGAUAAGUUGAUCAAAGGAUAUAGUUUUAUACAGACUUGCGGUGAAGCCUGUAUUUACAAGAAAGUGAGUGGGAGCACUACAGCAUUUCUGAUAAGUAUAUGUGAAUGACAUAUUGUUGAUCGGAAAUAAUGUAGAAUUAUUCUGCAAAGCAUAAAGGAGUGUUUGAAAGGAGUUUUUCAAAGAAAGACCUCGGUGAAGCUGCUUACAUAUUGAGCAUCAAGAUCUAUAGAGAUAGAUCAAGACGCUUGAUAAAUUUUUUCAAUGAGUACAUACCUUAACAAGAUUUUGAAGUAGUUCAAAAUGGAACAGUCAAAGAAAGAGUUCUUGCCUGUGUUACAAGGUGUGAAAUUGAGUAAGACUCAAAGCCCGACCACGGCAGAAGAUAGAAAGAGAAUGAAAGUCAUUCCCUAUGCCUCGGCCAUAGGUUCUAUAAAGUAUGCCAUGAUGUGUACCAGAUCUAUUGUAUACCCUAACUGAUUUUGGCAAGGCAGUACAAUAGUGAUCUAGGAGUAGAUCACUGGACAGCGGUCAAAAUUAUCCUUAGUGGAAUAAGGAUAUGUUUCUCGAUCAUGGAGGUGACAAAAAGGGUUCGUCGUAAAGGGUUACGUCGAUGCAAAUUUUGACACUGAUCCAGAUGACUCUAAGUCUCAAUCUGGAUACAUAUUGAAAGUGGGAGCAAUUAGCUAGAGUAGCUCCAUCCAGAGCAUUGUAGACAUAGAAAUUUGCAAAAUAUUUACGGAUCUGAAUAUGACAGACCCGUUGACUAAAAUUAUCUCACAAACAAAACAUGAUCACACCUUAGUACUCUUUGGGUGUUAAUCACAUAGCGGUGUGAACUAGAUUAUUGACUCUAGUAAACCCUUUGGGUGUUGGUCACAUGACGAUGUGAACUAUGGGUGUUAAUCACAUGGUGAUGUGAACUAUUGAUGUUAAAUCACAUGGCGAUGUGAUCUAGAUUAUUGACUCUAGUGCAAGUGGGAGACUGAAGGAAAUAUGCCCUAAAGGCAAUAAUAAAGUUAUUAUUUAUUUCCUUAUAUCAUGAUAAAUGUUUAUUAUUCAUGCUAGAAUUGUAUUAACCGGAAACCUGAUACAUGUGUGAAUACAUAGACAAAGAGAGUGUCACUAGUAUGCCUCUACUUGACUAGCUCGUUGAUCAAAGAUGGUUAUGUUUCCUAGCCAUAGACAUGAGUUAUCAUUUGAUUAACGGGAUCACAUCAUUAGGAGAAUGAUGUGAUUGACUUGACCCAUUCCGUUAGCUUAGCACUCGAUCAUUUAGUAUGUUGCUACUGCUUUCUUCAUGACUUAUACAUGUUCCUAUGGCUAUGAGAUUAUGCAACUCCCGUUUACCGGAGGAACACUUUGUGUGCUACCAAACGUCACAACCUAACUGGGUGAUUAUAAAGGUGCUAUACAGGUGUCUCCGAAGGUACUUGUUUGGUUGGCGUAUUUCGAGAUUAGGAUUUGUCACUCCGAUUGUCGGAGAGGUAUCUCUGGGCCCUCUCGGUAAUGCACAUCACUAUAAGCCUUGCAAGCAUUGUAACUAAUGAGUUAGUUGCGGGAUGAUGUAUUACGGAACGAGUAAAGAGACUUGCCGGUAACAAUAUUGAACUAGGUAUUGAGAUACCGACGAUUGAAUCUCGGGCAAGUAACAUACCGAUGACAAAGGGAACAACGUAUGUUGUUAUGCGGUCUGACCGAUAAAGAUCUUCGUAGAAUAUGUGGGAGCCAAUAUGAGCAUCCAGGUUCCGCUAUUGGUUAUUGACCGGAGACGUGUCUCGGUCAUGUCUACAUAGUUCUCGAACCCGUAGGGUCCGCACGCUUAAAGUUCGAUAACGAUUAUAUUAUGAGUUUAUGUGUUUUGAUGUACCGAAGGUAGUUCGGAGUCCCGGAUGAGAUCGGGGACAUGACGAGGAGUAUCGAAAUGGCCGAGACGUAAAUAUCGAUAUAUUGGACGACUAUAUUCGGACUUCCGAAAGGUUCCGAGUGAUUCGGGUAUUUAUCGGAGUACCGGAGAGUUACGUGAAUUCGCCGGGGGAGAAGUAUUGGGCCUUAUUGGGCCAUACGGGAAUAAAGGAGAGAGGCCAAAAGGAAGGAGGCGCGCACCCCCCCUCUGGUCCGAAUUGGACAAGGGGUGCAACCCCCUUUUCCUUCUCCCUCUCCCCCUCUUUCCUUCUCUCCUACUCCAACAAGGAAAGGAGGAGUCCUACUCCCGGUGGGAGUAGGACUCCCCCCUUGGCGCGCCCUCCUCCUUGGCCGGCCGCCUCCCCCUUGCUCCUUUAUAUACGGGGGCAGGGGGCACCCCAUAAACACAACAAUUGAUCGUUUGAUCUUUUAGCCGUGUGCGGUGCCCCCUCCACCAUAGUCUACCUCGAUAAUACUGUAGCGGUGCUUAGGCGAAGCCCUGCGUCGGUAGAACAUCAUCAUCAUCACCAUGCCGUCGUGCUGACGAAACUCUCCCUCAACACUCGGCUGGAUCGGAGUUCGAGGGACGUCAUCGGGCUGAACGUGUGCUGAACUCGGAGGUGCCGUGCGUUCGGUACUUGAUCGGUCGGAUCGUGAAGACGUACGACUACAUCAACCGCGUUGUGCUAACGCUUCCGCUUUCGGUCUACGAGGGUACGUGGACACACUCUCCCCUCUCGUUGCUAUGCAUCACCAUGAUCUUGCGUGUGCGUAGGAAAAUUUUCGAAAUUACUACGUUCCCCAACAGCUGCUUCCCAUGCUGCCGGAGCCGAGCACGGAGAUCGUCUACAUCUUCGACGACGAGUAGCUUGGUGAUCGACGUAUUACAUAGGUUUAUUUUAGUUUGCAUGUCUUUGUAUGGAUUUGAGAAUCUAGUAUGAGAUGUCCCACUACUAGGGAAAACCUUGGAAACAGAAUCUUACUAGCAGCGCGCAUUAAAACAAAGCGCUGCUGCUAUCUAGCAGUAGCGCGUGUCGGCAAAACGCGCUGCUGCAAUAAAAGUAGAAGUAGCGCGCCUGUACUAAGCCGCGCUACUGCUAUAAUUGCCACGACCUCGCCGCCAAGCUAGUUAUAGUGGUAGCACCUUAUUCCAGACAUCGCUACUGCUAUUUAACUUAGCAGUAGCGCCUUUUGAUAAUGCUCGCUACUGCUAAGUUUACUCCACUCCUUGCACCUAAAUUUAGUCCCACCUCGCUCGGCGAACAUGGUUUUUACCACCUUAAUUAUGUUACCACUUGGUGUUCAUUGAACUCUAUGUGUAGAAUUUGUGGCCGCAAUAUGAGUCUUCUCCGGUUUCUAAACUGGUGAGGACUCAUAUUGACAAUUCAGAUUGUACACAAAAAGAUCAUUGAUGAUCAAUGUAUUUUUGAUGUUUAUUUUUACAUGCUUAGACUUAGCAGUAGUGCGUUGUAGCAGAAGGCGCUACUGCUACGGGCCUAGCAGUAGCGCUUCUUAGCUGAUACAUGUUGAUAGAAUAUGUUUUGUUUAUAUUUUGUUUAUGCAGAAAUCAAGUAUUAGCCUGCCUCAUCCCCGCAGUCGUCCCCAUCGCCGACCCCCUAAGAACUCUAGGUGAGAAUAGCCAAAUCCCCAUGCUGUUGAUAUAGAUGAUAAUGUGUUGUAAAUGUCGAUGAUGAAAAUGCUAGUGCUAGUCGCCAUGUCAUUGAUGUCGAUGAUGAUCCAUUCUGAAUAUAGAGGAUGUCUUGGUGUUCUUGUUUGCAAUGUAUCUCCGAGUGGCCUAUGUUUUGCCGGAAUGUUGAUUCGUUUCCAUUCCGGCAUAUUUCAGGCGCUCGAUAUGUCCUGUUUUAGCAAAGGUCAUGCCGAUUUUUUUUCAUGAAUUUUAGCACGACUUGUGCUGCAAUGUAGGACAUAUCGAGUGCUUGUGAUUUGUCAGAACAGGAAUUCAAUGAUAGUCCGGCAAAACAUAGGGCAUUUUUCUAUGCCAUUGCUCAAUAUAUCGCAAAGUGUUUAUGAAUUUUGUUUUCAUAAUUAAGCAUUUGUUUUCGACGUCGACGAUGCCUAUCCCGCAUUCUCGUCGUCGACUCGACAGAGGUGGCCUGCUUGAUCAGUGGGGCCAUGUCCGGGACUGGGCUCCGCCGGGCUGGUACUGGGAGGUGCUACCUUCCGGGGCGCACAACUUGGUGAGGAGGCAGCCCGUCGUCGACCCAGACCUUCUUUGGUGGCUCGCGUGGGCCAGUGACAGUGCAGAGGCUUUUGUCCAUCACGGAGGUGGUACGUUACCGUGUCAGCGAGGAGGACAAGCACGUCCGUCGCUUCAUGGUUGCGUCGGAGGGCAGGUUCUCCAAUACCUGGCAGGUUCUUCAGGGAUCUCACUGGAGCUAUGAUCCUGUAAUGGUUCCUUCUCUUUGGGUGUCCACCGCCCGCGCCGAUACCCGUCGUUCGCUAGGGUUCUAGCUGUAUUAGUGAUGUUAUAUGUAUGAUACUAUUCGAGAUGUACUAGUGAUAAUAUUCAAAGAUGUAUGGAUGCAAGAGAUGAUUUAGUUUUGCUCAUUGAAUGCAUGCUAAUUUGAAAACUAAAAUUGGAGAUAAUUGAACGACAUUUCGGGUUGACUUUAAGUCUGUCGGGACUCCACCAUACAUGAGAGAAGAAGAAUGUCGACUGUUGUCGUGGGGGUCGUUCCUCCUCUUCUUUCUCGUGAUAGACCUUUUGGUAAUGCACGGGAAGGAAGGGAAGAAUGACCAUCACCGACGGUCGCAAAUGUCCGAGAGGAAUCAAUGAGGGAGUGUGUCCACCAUAUAUGAGAGAGGACGAAGAAUCCCGACUAUUAUCGUGGGGGUCGUUUCUCCUUCUGCUAGACCUAUGUUAUGCACUAGGGGAAGCAGGAGUAACGACCAUCACCGACGGGCGCAAAUGUCAGUGAGGAAUCAAUGGGGGAGAGUCUCCACCAUAUAUGAGAGGACGAAAAAUCCCUGUUGUUGUGGGGGCCGCUUCUCCUUCGUUCCCGCGUGCUAGACAUUUUGGUGUAAUGCAUUCGGGGACGAAAGGAGCGACCAUCACCAACGGUCGAAUGUAUACACCACGUGAGCUGAGAGUUUUCAAGAAAAGACUCGACAGACCGAUAGUCAACCCAUGAUGAAUAAUAACGAUCUAAUUUAGUUUUUGUAGUACAUAUAUUUAAUUGUACGAGUUUAAUCUUUGAAUUAUGAACAUAGGAAAUGUCGUCGAUGUCGUCGUUGGACGACGAAAGUCUCCCGGCGGAGUGCGACUGCUGCGGUGAUGACCGGGGUCUGUGCGACAGGCCUCACCUGGUAGAAGGUCGCCGCUUCGGCAUUAAGCUCCAGGAGACCUUUGAUGUUCAAACGGUACGCAAUGACGACAAGUUAUUUUUCAUAAUUAAGCACGACUUCUGCUACUUCAACGUGUAAUUUUCGUCUUUUACAAUUCAACUAGCUUAUCUCAUGCCAUGCAAGAGCUAUGUCUUUGUGACGCCCGGAUAAUUAAGCUACAGUAAACCUUUGCUAAUGAUGCCACGUCACCUCAGUGAAAGUUGAUAAACUCACGUUAGUUCAAAACGAUUCAAAUUCAAAUUUAAAGUAUAGGCAAGCAACACAAGUUUUUAAACAAUAAAACUAAAAUGUUCGGGUCGUGCCAAAUAAUGCGUAUGUAAUUAUGGUGGACAAACCACAUUUUUAUAAAGUAUUUAAUUGCAAUGAGGUAAAUAAAACAGUAACAAAAACAAAUAAAUAAAUGCCUUUUUCAGUUAAUAAAAUAUUAAGCUAACUUAUUUAUUUGCCCAAAACUAUUGGGGAAGUGGCAUAUUUAUUAAAACUAAAUUAGGAACUAGUUUUGUAUUUCAUUUAAACUAUAAGAGGGUGAGACUAAGAGAAAACAGAAACAUGAAAAUCAAUAAAUUAAAACAGAGAAACCCCCUGGCCCUACUGGGCCUCAACCCAACCGACCGGCCCACCGUUGCCAGCCUACUUAACCCACCCUAAACCCUAACCUAGUCGAUCCCCUCCCCACUCACCCCCGUUCCUCCCCACUCUGGAUCUGGAUCGAGGAACAAGCCCCGACCCCUUCGACGUCGUCGCCUCGUCCUCGUCCUUGUCGUCACCUCGCCGCCCCCAUCGCCGGAAUUCGCACCGCCCCAAGCUCUGGCGCCUCCCCGACUCCUCCCCGAGCCCGCUUGUGCUCAACUACAGGGCCUCGUGAGCUCUCUCUCUCCUUUUCUUCCCGUUUUCCCUCUCUCCCUAGCUCGACCCCAAGCUCCUGUCGAGCUGCUGCUGCCGCUAAACCCAAGCCCUGCGCCACCUGCUGUCCCUGCUGCCGCUGCGCGUCGCACGAGCUCGUCUGCUCACGCACGCCCGUGCUCGCGCACACCGCCCGCAACUGCUCAUCGCGCCGUGGCCNNNNNNNNNNNNNNNNNNNNNNNNNNNNNNNNNNNNNNNNNNNNNNNNNNNNNNNNNNNNNNNNNNNNNNNNNNNNNNNNNNNNNNNNNNNNNNNNNNNNNNNNNNNNNNNNNNNNNNNNNNNNNNNNNNNNNNNNNNNNNNNNNNNNNNNNNNNNNNNNNNNNNNNNNNNNNNNNNNNNNNNNNNNNNNNNNNNNNNNNNNNNNNNNNNNNNNNNNNNNNNNNNNNNNNNNNNNNNNNNNNNNNNNNNNNNNNNNNNNNNNNNNNNNNNNNNNNNNNNNNNNNNNNNNNNNNNNNNNNNNNNNNNNNNCCCGCGCCGCCGCUGCACCGCCUAGCGCCGCGUCGGCCCGCCUCCCGUCCUCACCGUGCCCACGAGACGCCGCGCCCGGCGCUCGUGCCCAUCGGGCGCCCACGGCCUUGCCCACUAGCACACCCGACCCGCAAGGCCCCUGUGCCACUGACAUGGGGCCCCACGCCCCUAGAAUGUUUAAAAAAAAGGAAUUGAAAAAAUUAUAAAUAAAAAUAAAAAUAUCAAUUAAUUAAUUAAUCAACUAAAUAAUUAACUUAAUUAAUUUUGUUUAAAUUAACUAAUUAAGAUUAAUUCACCUAACAACUAGUUAACCUAAUUAUCCACUUUUAAUUAGCUAAAUAGUCCCUGACAGGUGGGACCCACCUGUUAGGUUGACCAGGUCAACGGUCAACGUUGACUGCCGACGUCAUGCUGACAUCAUGCUGACGUCAUAAUAGCAUUUUUGAAUUAAAUUAAAUAUGUUAUUUCUAGAAAUUGAUAAAAUCUAUAAAAAUUCACAUAAAAUAAUCCGUAACUCGGAUGAAAAUACUUUGUACAUGAAAGUUGCUCCGAACGACGAGGCGAAUCUGAAUACGCAGCCUGUUCGUCCGCCACACGUCCCUAGCAUAGCGAUCCUGCAAAUUUCCCCCUCCAGUUCAUCUGUCCGAAAACGCGAAACACCGGGGAUACAUUCCCGGAUGUCCCCCCCUUCGCCGGUAUCACCUCCUACUGCGUUAGGUCACCUCUAGCCCCGCGUAUUGCCAUGUUACGCUUUGUGAUGCCUUGAUUGCUCUGUUAUUUAUUGUGUUCCCCCUCCGUUACUUCUUUCUGGUAGACCCCGAGGCUGCUGGUGACCCCCAGUUCGACUACGGUGUUGACGACCCGUCCUUCUUGCCAGAGCAACCAGGCAAGCCCCCCCUUGAUCACCAGAUAUCGCCUAUUCUUCUCUCUACUGCUUGCAUUAGAGUAGUGUAGCAUGUUACUGCUUUCCGUUAAUCAUAUCUUGAUGCAUAGCCUGUCCUUGCUACUACCGUUGUUACCCUUACCUGCUAUCCUAAUGCUUAGUAUAGGAUGCUAGUGUUCCAUCAGUGGCCCUACACUCUUGUCCGUCUGCCAUGCUAUACUACUGGGUCGUGAUCACUUCGGGAGGUGAUCACGGGCAUAUGCUAUAUACUUUAUACUGUUACAUUACUUAUGAUACUGUUCGGAGAUGGGGGCUGAAGGGGCAGGUGGCUCCAUCCCGGUAGAGGUGGGCCUGGGUUCCCGAUGGCCCCUGACUAUUACUUUGUGGCGGAGCGACUGGGCAGGUUGAGACCACCUAGGAGAGAGGUGGGCCUGGCCCUGGUCGGCUUCCGCGGUUACUUCAUAAUAACACGCUUAACGAGAUCUUGGUAUUUGAUCUGAGUCUGGCCAUUUGGUCGAUACGCACUAACCAACUACGUGGGAAAGAUAUGGGCACUCGACGUCGUGGUAUCAGCCGAAGCCUUCGUGACAUCAGCGACUGAGCGGCGCGCGCCAGAUUGGACCGCGUAACGUGACUUCCUUUGUAAUGGAGGUUGCUAGGUCUGCUUCCGGCCGCCCUCGCAACGUGUAGGUGUGCAAUGGGCGAUGGGCCCAGACCCCUGCGCCAUAGGAUUUAGACCGGCGUGCUAACCUCUCUGUUGUGCCUAGGUAGGGCUGCGACGUGUUGAUCUUCCGAGGCCAGGCAUGACCCAGGAAAGUGUGUCCGGCCAAAUGGGACCGAGCGUGUUGGGUUAUGUGGUGCACCCCUGCAGGGAAGUUUAUCUAUUCGAAUAGUCGUGUCCCUCGGUAAAAGGACGACCCGGUUGUACCUUGACCUUAUGACAACUAGAACCGGAUACUUAAUAAAACACACCCUUCCAAGUGCCAUACACCACCCGCUGAUUGCUCUCUCACAGGUCGACGAGGAGAGGAUCGUUGGGUUAGGAUUAUGAUAUGCGAUGAUACUUGGUGAACUUACCAUCUACUCUCUUCUACAUGCUGCAAGAUGGAGGCUACCAGAAGCGUAGUCUUCGACAGGACUAGCUACCACCCUCUUAUUCUGGCAUUCGGCAGUUCAGUCCACCGAUAUUGCCCCUUUACACAGAUACCCAUGCAUAUGUAGUGUAGAUCCUUGCUUGUGAGUACUUUGGAUGAGUACUCACGGUUGCUUUUCUCCCUCUUUUCCCCUUUCCAUUCUACCUGGUUGUCGCAACUAGAUGUUGGAGCCCAGGAGCUUGACGCCAUCGUCGACAACGACUCCUACUACACCGGAGGUGUCUACUACUACGUGCAGGCCGCUGACGACGACCAGGAGUAGUUUAGGAUGAUCCCAGGCAGGAGGCCUGCGCCUCUUACGAGCUGUAUCCUAGUUUGUGCUAGCCUUCUUAAGGCAAACUUGUUUAACUCAUGUCUGUACUCAGAUAUUGUUGCUUCCGCUGACUCUUGUGUAUUCGAGCUUAUGUAUUCGAGCCCUCGAGGCCCCGGGCUUGUAAUAUAAAGCUUGUAUUAUUUUAAUUUGUGUCUAGAGUUGUGUUGUGAUAUCUUCUCGUGAGUCCUUGAUCUUGAUCGUACACAUUUGCGUGUAUGAUUAGUGUACGGUCGAGUCGGGGGCGUCACAGUCUUGGAGAGGAUGGAUUUUGAAGAUCGUGAAAGUAUGGAAACAAUGAUAAUUCACCUAAGGACCCAUCAUGGUAUGGAUCUUGAUGUAAAUCUAUACAAUUCUGAGUGUUACCCUUUUUGGUUGCCCGAAUUGGGAAGCACUUUGCAAGAUGUAUGAUUUUCAUGAGGGUAUGCUUGUCACCAUGGAUCUUGGCGAUCCUGACAUCGCCCAAGACAAUAUGGACAUUUGGGUCCUUGUUGAUACGCUUCCAAUUCUACCGCUAUGUGAGUUUCUCAAACAUAGUUAUUAAUUAAUUUAUAUUGUUUAUUUCAAAAUAGUUGACAGCUUAUUUCCAUUGAUAGCUUAUUUUCAUUCUUCAAAGAAUGUGCAGAAGAUGGUAGACAGAACCUACUACACCGAUCACUACAAAAAAAAGA